ACUCAAAGGAAUAGACGGGGGUCCGCACAAGCGGUGGAACAUGUGGUUUAAUUCGACAAUACGCGAGAAACCUUACCUAGGCUUGACAUGCUUUUGACAGUCGUAGAAAUACGAUCUUCUAGAUUUCGGUUUAGACAGAAGCACAGGUGCUGCAUGGCUGUCGUCAGCUCGUGUCGUGAGAUGUUAGGUUAAGUCCUCUAACGAGCGCAACCCUUACUGCCAGUUGCUAAUCACUUUUAGUGGUGCACUCUGGUGGGACUGCCUGGGAAACCAGGAGGAAGGUGGGGAUGACGUCAAGUCAUCAUGGUCCUUAUGUCUAGGGCUACACACGUGUUACAAUGGUCGGUACAAAAGGCUGCAAACUUGCAAAAGUAAGCAAAUCCUAUAAAGCCGAUCUAAGUUCGGAUUGGGGUCUGCAACUCGACCCCAUGAAGUUGAAAUCGCUAGUAAUCGCGUAUCAGCAACGACGCGGUGAAUACGUUCACGGACCUUGUACACACCGCCCGU
Molecule: ribosomal RNA, 507 nt
Filed under: uncultured bacterium
Lineage: Bacteria
Description: partial 16S ribosomal RNA
Rfam family: Bacterial small subunit ribosomal RNA
Source: RNAcentral